This 284-nucleotide long non-coding RNA is filed under the name Saimiri boliviensis boliviensis (Bolivian squirrel monkey). RNAcentral's name for it is "lncRNA (ENSSBOG00000036697.1)". The record is from RNAcentral. Lineage: Eukaryota; Metazoa; Chordata; Mammalia; Primates; Cebidae.
CUAAGUGCAUGAGUUUAUUCCCUGAAGUUCCUAAGGGCUGAAAUUCGAGGUCAAAUGUUACUUUGCUCUUUUUUUUGGACAAACCGUUCCCUCCUUGUGUAACAGCUGUAGAAGGAGCCUCAGAGAGCCCCAAAGUCAAAAGACGUUCCAGCUUUGUGGAAUUGUUAGAAGACGGAUCCCAAUCCAGACCCCGAGAGAGUUCUUGGAUCUCUUUCAAGAAGGAAUUCAGGGCAAGUCCACAGUGCAAAGUGAAAGCAAGUUUAUUAAGAAGGUAAAGGAAUAAA